UACGUAGGGUGCAAGCGUUAAUCGGAAUUACUGGGCGUAAAGCGUGCGCAGGCGGUCCGUUAAGACAGAUGUGAAAUCCCCGGGCUCAACCUGGGAACUGCAUUUGUGACUGCAUGGCUGGAGUGCGGCAGAGGGGGAUGGAAUUCCGCGUGUAGCAGUGAAAUGCGUAGAUAUGCGGAGGAACACCGAUGGCGAAGGCAAUCCCCUGGACCUGUACUGACGCUCAUGCACGAAAGCGUGGGGAGCAAACAGG
Molecule: ribosomal RNA, 253 nt
Filed under: uncultured bacterium
Lineage: Bacteria
Description: partial 16S ribosomal RNA
Rfam family: Bacterial small subunit ribosomal RNA
Source: RNAcentral